This 488-nucleotide long non-coding RNA is filed under the name Nicotiana tabacum (common tobacco). RNAcentral's name for it is "long non-coding RNA (NTAB_LNC016214)". The record is from RNAcentral. Lineage: Eukaryota; Viridiplantae; Streptophyta; Magnoliopsida; Solanales; Solanaceae.
UUUUUUUUUGUUUUUUCUCAAACCCCAGCAGCAGUCAAACUCCAAACUUUCAUCGGUAUUUCCCAAAUUUUAAAGGAUGUGCCUUGAAUUCAAGACCCUGCGGAACAAAGUACAAAAACCCCCAAAUGUUAAUUUCGACUUCAGUUUUCCUUGGAGAGGAGAAGCCAAUCACUUGUCAAUUUCGAAAAAAUCAUCACAAUAGGCGAAUUUCGAAAGAUCAGAAUUAAAAAAUGAAUGCGAAAUCAGUGUAAGCUUCAAUUAAGAAGUUGUGGCUGUAUAUUUAGAUAUUAAUAAUCCGCAGCUUUGGAAAAAAUAGAACAGAUCAUGGAAGAGAGAGAAACCUUGUAAGAGAAGCCGGUUGAUCACUGAUACAUUGAGUUGUACAGAAAGAAACAUUCGUCAUUGGAUUAUGCCUAAUCAGUCACUUCUUUUCCAAUUUUUGCGCAAUGCUCCCUCGUAUUUGAAAUAUAUUCCAGUAUGCUCCUAGG